RNAcentral lists this ribosomal RNA (506 nucleotides) under uncultured bacterium. RNAcentral's name for it is "partial 16S ribosomal RNA". It matches the Rfam family "Bacterial small subunit ribosomal RNA", at positions 30 to 523 of the family's 1533-position model. The record is from RNAcentral.
AUUGAACGCUGGCGGCAGGCCUAACACAUGCAAGUCGAACGGCAGCACAGAAGAGCUUGCUCUUUGGGUGGCGAGUGGCGGACGGGUGAGUAAUGUCUGGGAAACUGCCCGAUGGAGGGGGAUAACUACUGGAAACGGUAGCUAAUACCGCAUAACGUCGCAAGACCAAAGUGGGGGACCUUCGGGCCUCACACCAUCGGAUGUGCCCAGAUGGGAUUAGCUAGUAGGUGGGGUAAUGGCUCACCUAGGCGACGAUCCCUAGCUGGUCUGAGAGGAUGACCAGCCACACUGGAACUGAGACACGGUCCAGACUCCUACGGGAGGCAGCAGUGGGGAAUAUUGCACAAUGGGCGCAAGCCUGAUGCAGCCAUGCCGCGUGUAUGAAGAAGGCCUUCGGGUUGUAAAGUACUUUCAGCGGGGAGGAAGGCGGUGAGGUUAAUAACCUUGCCGAUUGACGUUACCCGCAGAAGAAGCACCGGCUAACUCCGUGCCAGCCGCCGGGGUAA